RNAcentral lists this long non-coding RNA (1676 nucleotides) under Canis lupus dingo (dingo). Its description in RNAcentral is "lncRNA (ENSCAFG00020022212.1)". Lineage: Eukaryota; Metazoa; Chordata; Mammalia; Carnivora; Canidae. The record is from RNAcentral.
UUUAUUUGACUUUUUAGUAAGAAAGUGGCAAGUUUUUAUUUAUCGUGAUUAUAGGAUUGUGCUAGGCACUGGGAUGUAGAGGCAAAGCCAUUGCACCCCAGCAAACAGGCAGCUACAGUGUUGUGCUGUGAACAGUGAUUAAGUAAAAGUCCUUCAACACAGAGAAUGCAGAGAACUUCCCUCUUCACUUACCUCUUCCUCCCACUCCUUUCCUAAUCUGGCUCAAUUAUCUAACCACAUCCUCCAGGCAGAAGAUUAAAAGAUAACACUCUUGUUCUCUGAACACUUCUUCCUUUAAGAGUAUCCUAUUAUUUCAUGGAUGCGUGAUCUCUUUUUUUCCUCCCUGAGUAUGUAAGUUGCCAACAUCUUAAAUAAAUCAGCUUUACUUUCGUUGAUUCCUGUCAUUGUCCUUAUUUCUUCAUUUUCCUUUUUUCCCUUUUAUUUUCUAAAGAUUUUAUUUAUUUAUGAGAGACACAGAGACAUAGGCAGAGGGAGAAGCAGGCUCCCUGAGAGCAGCCUCAUGCGGGACUCAAUUCCAGAAUCGCAAGAUCACAACCUAAGCCAUAGGUAGAUGCUCAACCACUAAGCCACACAGGCACCUGCUUUUUCCCCUUUGUUUUGAUUUGUAUCUUCCAUGAUAACACCUUUCUCUAAUGUGUGGAACUCUUUGAUUUUCCAUUCGUAUUUAACAAUUAAGCAAUAUUAGCUUUUAUUUAUUUAUUUUUAUUUUUAUUUAUUUAUUUAUUUUAAGCAAUAUUAGCUUUUUAAAGGGAAAUCUGAGACCUUUCCACUGAUGGGCUGGUUCAUGGGGCGGGCUGGGGGAGGGGGGGAGACGGGACAUGAUUGCCACUUAACUCUCAGUAUUUCUCUUUGAUUCAUUUCCCUUUACAGAAAUCUUCCAACAUUAUGCCUGGAGGAUAUGAUUUUGAACCAAAUUGGGGACGAAACAAUCAGGAGGAGACCUAUCUUCACAUGCAACAUUGAAUAUUUAUUUACAUUGUACUCUGGUAAGUUCAGCAUGCUUCAUAGCUUCAACAUCAUUUUUUAACUUCAGUUAUCUAAGUAAUCCUAAAAUGUGACAUGGAGUGUUGGAUUUAAACUAAACAAUCUUUUUUCUGUAGUUUUCUAGCUGCUAUCAUGUCUUUUAAAUGUCACCAAUGCUAACCUUUAUUGUGUACUGAUCAAACACUGCAGAUAAAUUGUUAUAUCAGUCUUAACUCUAUGAGAUUUUGGCUGAAAUGCAAGAAAUUAUAAAAAAUGUAUAAAAUGAAAAUGAUCUAUAAUGCUAUUAUUUUUAUCUUUACAAGUUUUGAAGGAGAAAUACCAAUAGCUUCAUAUUCAAUAUAUAUGAGGCAAUGAAUGAAAAGAAUGAAAAACACAUUUUCUUAAGAGACUGUUAAAUUGGCUUUGAAAACUGUACUGAACAUACAUUUUUUUUUUCUCCUGGCACUUUCCCUCUUAUCUUUCUGAAAACUGUGUUUUCUCUGAAUCUUAGAAACCAUAAGGUGUUAAGAUGCAGAGUUGUUGGUGAAUAUACUUUCUGCCAUGUGGAGAAAGUUGGUCUUCAGGGAGAAGGAAACAUGCAGUAGACAUACAUGGAGAGACUCUGAGACAGGAGACUCAGAUGAGUCCUGACUCUGUUAAAGCACUGGUAGUACUGUCCUAGGAUUCUGUUA